This 468-nucleotide ribosomal RNA is filed under the name uncultured bacterium. Its description in RNAcentral is "partial 16S ribosomal RNA". It matches the Rfam family "Bacterial small subunit ribosomal RNA", at positions 28 to 507 of the family's 1533-position model. The record is from RNAcentral.
GACGAACGCUGGCGGCGUGCUUAACACAUGCAAGUCGAACGGAAAGGCCCUGCUUUUGUGGGGUGCUCGAGUGGCGAACGGGUGAGUAACAAGUGAGUAACCUGCCCUUGACUUUGGGAUAACUUCAGGAAACUGGGGCUAAUACCGGAUAGGAGCUCCUGCUGCAUGGUGGGGGUUGGAAAGUUUCGGCGGUUGGGGAUGGACUCGCGGCUUAUCAGCUUGUUGGUGGGGUAGUGGCUUACCAAGGCUUUGACGGGUAGCCGGCCUGAGAGGGUGACCGGCCACAUUGGGACUGAGAUACGGCCCAGACUCCUACGGGAGGCAGCAGUGGGGAAUAUUGCACAAUGGGCGGAAGCCUGAUGCAGCAACGCCGCGUGCGGGAUGACGGCCUUCGGGUUGUAAACCGCUUUCGCCUGUGACGAAGCGUGAGUGACGGUAAUGGGUAAAGAAGCAACGGCUAACUACGUG